Molecule: long non-coding RNA, 883 nt
Organism: Aptenodytes forsteri (emperor penguin)
Lineage: Eukaryota; Metazoa; Chordata; Aves; Sphenisciformes; Spheniscidae
Exons: 2
Source: RefSeq, a predicted model, not a curated record
UGGAGCCGAAAAAUUACUUUGCAAAUAAGAACGAGGCAUCUUUUUUGGAACCAGUUGUAGUAUCCCAACUCAAAUCUAUUUCACUCUUUCAAAAUUGAGUUAGAAAAAAUGAAGUAAACAGCUAUUUGGCUACUUUUUUUCCCCCACAGAAUUGUCUAAGAAUUGACAUGCCAAGCUUCUGGCAUUUUAAAUAAUUCUAAUUUUCAGAGGCUAUAUGGGUGAAAUCCUGUCCUGAAUGAAGUGAAUGGCAUAACUCUUUUUGUCAUCAGGAGAGCCAGGCUUACACUCCUUUUCGCAUCCAGCAUGUAAUACACAAAUGUAUUUGUACACACACACAGACACUUUUUUGCACUAUCCAUAUAAAUGUAUAUGUUUACAUUUUGGGAGAAAAAAACCCCCGUGAGCACCUACAUUUAGCAUGGCAUUUUGUGAACUUUGGAAGCUACUCCAGAAAUGAGAGCUUUAAAAAAAGAAGUCAAAUGUUUACUAAUAGUCUCAUUUCAGUAACCACUCAGAACAGUCAGUGGUCAAACCAACCAGAAACUCAGCCAGAGGAAGCAGAAACAAGCUACUUCAACGAGCAGAGAAACAUCAUGAGGAGUACGGAAAACAGACCUUACUCCGAAGUACCCCUCCCUGAACAAACUCAGAACGUGGUGGGAAAGAGUCGAUACAAGCUUAUUUGGAAAUCUGGGUCUUAGCUGCUGCUGCACCUCUUCCCGCAUCAGCAAAGAUUGCAGACUUCCCCAGCAAGUUUUCAAGGCGUCUAUUGCAAGUCUGCUUGUUCUCUAAACGCAGGGACAACAAUAGCUUAUUCAGUCUCAAGCAAGAUCUUCAGGGCAGAGCAAAAUGGUAAUCAUCUCCCUUUCAGAGGGAAAAAAAA